RNAcentral lists this ribosomal RNA (920 nucleotides) under Ictistygna sp. COL1004. RNAcentral's name for it is "SSU rRNA". It matches the Rfam family "Eukaryotic small subunit ribosomal RNA", at positions 37 to 904 of the family's 1831-position model. The record is from RNAcentral. Lineage: Eukaryota; Metazoa; Arthropoda; Insecta; Coleoptera; Anthicidae.
UCAAAGAUUAAGCCAUGCAUGUCUCAGUACAAGCCAAAUUAAGGUGAAACCGCGAAAGGCUCAUUAAAUCAGUUAUGGUCCUUAGAUCGUACACAUUUACUUGGAUAACUGUGGUAAUUCUAGAGCUAAUACAUGCAAACAGAGCUCCGACCGGAGACGGAAGGUAGCGCUUUUAUUAGAUCAAAACCCAUCGGUGGCGGUCUCUGUCAUCGUACAACUUGGUGAGACUGAAUAACUUUUAGCUGAUCGCAUGGUCUUGCACCGGCGACGCAUCUUUCAAAUGUCUGCCUUAUCAACUGUCGAUGGUAGGUUCUGCGCCUACCAUGGUUGUAACGGGUAACGGGGAAUCAGGGUUCGAUUCCGGAGAGGGAGCCUGNAGAAACGGCUACCACAUCCAAGGAAGGCAGCAGGCGCGCAAAUUACCCACUCCCGGCACGGGGAGGUAGUGACGAAAAAUAACGAUACGGGACUCAUCCGAGGCCCCGUAAUCGGAAUGAGUACACUCUAAACCCUUUAACGAGGAUCAAUUGGAGGGCCAGUCUGGUGCCAGCAGCCGCGGUAAUUCCAGCUCCAAUAGCGUAUAUUAAAGUUGUUGCGGUUAAAAAGCUCGUAGUCGAAUUUGUGUCCAGCGCCGUCGGUUCAUCGUUCGCGGUGCUAACUGACGUGUCGCCGGACGUCCUGCCGGUGGGCUUAGCCCGCGAGGGCGGCCCAACUCAAUCCCGCCGCGGUGCUCUUCAUUGAGUGUCGAGGUGGGCCGGCACGUUUACUUUGAACAAAUUAGAGUGCUUAAAGCAGGCUAAAAUUUCGCCUGAAUACUAGUGCAUGGAAUAAUGGAAUAGGACCUCGGUUCUAUUUUGUUGGUUUUCUGAACCCCGAGGUAAUGAUUAAUAGGAACGGAUGGGGGCAUUCGUAUUGCGACG